CCUGCUUUUGUGGGGUGCUCGAGUGGCGAACGGGUGAGUAACACGUGAGUAACCUGCCCUUGACUUUGGGAUAACUUCAGGAAACUGGGGCUAAUACCGGAUAGGAGCUCCUGCUGCAUGGGGGGGGUUGGAAAGUUUCGGCGGUUGGGGAUGGACUCGCGGCUUAUCAGCUUGUUGGUGGGGUAGUGGCUUACCAAGGCUUUGACGGGUAGCCGGCCUGAGAGGGUGACCGGCCACAUUGGGACUGAGAUACGGCCCAGACUCCUACGGGAGGCAGCAGUGGGGAAUAUUGCACAAUGGGCGGAAGCCUGAUGCAGCAACGCCGCGUGCGGGAUGACGGCCUUCGGGUUGUAAACCGCUUUCGCCUGUGACGAAGCGUGAGUGACGGUAAUGGGUAAAGAAGC
Molecule: ribosomal RNA, 404 nt
Filed under: uncultured Propionibacterium sp.
Lineage: Bacteria; Bacillati; Actinomycetota; Actinomycetes; Propionibacteriales; Propionibacteriaceae
Description: bacterial SSU rRNA
Rfam family: Bacterial small subunit ribosomal RNA
Source: RNAcentral